GCGUUUGCAUCCUUACGCCCAGUCACCUAUAUAGAAGGGGCUCGCAAGAGCUAUGGCGAUAAACUGUCAUUGUAAUAAACCCAUCGGACCCGGGGGCAGUACCCGGCGUCUCCACCAUCUCCCCUCUUUAUGAGGUGAGCCAAUGGGGACGAAACAGGAUCGACGAGGGCGUAAAGAGUGUGCUUUCGCUCGGCAUGGUACCACCGUUAUCGGACUAAAACUUAUAGUUGCAAAUGACAACAAUAAGGCUCCAGUAGCUCUCGCAGCGUAAGCUGCGCGACAUCUGGGAAAUAAGUCCUCCGCCCCUAGCCGGGCGAUAGGCGGGGUUCGCAGGCACCUGGCAACAGAAGCCUGCACU
This 358-nucleotide transfer-messenger RNA is filed under the name Devosia sp. MC521. Its description in RNAcentral is "Alphaproteobacteria transfer-messenger RNA". It matches the Rfam family "Alphaproteobacteria transfer-messenger RNA". From Rfam's summary of the family: Bacterial tmRNA, also known as 10Sa RNA or SsrA, is named for its dual tRNA and mRNA-like properties. The record is from Rfam by way of RNAcentral. Lineage: Bacteria; Pseudomonadati; Pseudomonadota; Alphaproteobacteria; Hyphomicrobiales; Devosiaceae. RNAcentral also lists the same sequence under 1 other name.